Pomacea canaliculata is the source of this 699-nucleotide long non-coding RNA. RefSeq lists it as uncharacterized. Lineage: Eukaryota; Metazoa; Mollusca; Gastropoda; Architaenioglossa; Ampullariidae. The record is from RefSeq and is a predicted model, not a curated record. The transcript is spliced from 2 exons.
UUACAGUAAAAGAGCUUUUUUCAAUGAAAAUAGUUUUGUCUUAGUUUUAAAUAUCUGUGUGGCUCAAUAAGCAGACAUUGUAGGUUUUCGAGCCUACAUGUAAAUACUGUAGUUCUUAGCAUUUACAGGUGUAUACUAUAGAUUUUAGUGUGCACAUGUUUUUUCCCCUCUGUUGGACCACCCCUUUGCCAUGGUCAAGUGGCAUGCUUGUCACAAUGACCCCCAGAAAUAUGCCGACAGGAGCACUAGCUCCUGGCAUUGUCACCCAUUUUGGAGAGAUCAAAAGUGGUUCACUGGUCCUCUAGGUUAAAGGGGUUGGGCAAUCGACUAACAAUUCAUUCAUAUAAAAGCAUAUGGUUACUGAAACUGGCGACAUCCCAACAAACUGUGGGACAUGUCUGAGAUGGGAAUUACAAGAUUGCGUACUGAAAAAUAUUUCAUUUAUAAUACACAAUAUGCAAAAAACAGAUAUACAUGAACUACAAUUAUGUUUGUACCUGGAUUCACCUUUUCAACUGAACAAUUUUCAUUAUCACCUGAAUAAAGUAGAGAGGGAGCACUUGAACGGUUAUUAAAUAGUCCUGAGCUCAUUUCAAUAGGGGGAGAGAGCAGUAACAUUACAUUCCUUGCUUGCUGCUGACUAGAAUGAAAACCAAUACAUAGUGUACGGCAGAAUUUACUUUUAAUGAUUGCAAAAAA